RNAcentral lists this ribosomal RNA (281 nucleotides) under uncultured bacterium. Its description in RNAcentral is "partial 16S ribosomal RNA". It matches the Rfam family "Bacterial small subunit ribosomal RNA", at positions 524 to 796 of the family's 1533-position model. The record is from RNAcentral.
UACGUAGGGCGCAAGCGUUGUCCGGAAUUAUUGGGCGUAAAGAGCUCGUAGGCGGUUUGUCGCGUCUGCUGUGAAAGCCCGGGGCUCAACCCCGGGUCUGCAGUGGGUACGGGCAGACUAGAGUGCAGUAGGGGAGACUGGAAUUCCUGGUGUAGCGGUGAAAUGCGCAGAUAUCAGGAGGAACACCGAUGGCGAAAGGCAGGGUCUCCUGGGGCUGUUACUGACGCUGGAGGAGCGAAAAGCAUGGGGGAGCGAACAGGAUUAGAUACCCGGCGUAGUCC